This 253-nucleotide ribosomal RNA is filed under the name uncultured bacterium. RNAcentral's name for it is "partial 16S ribosomal RNA". It matches the Rfam family "Bacterial small subunit ribosomal RNA", at positions 524 to 776 of the family's 1533-position model. The record is from RNAcentral.
UACGGAGGGUGCAAGCGGUGUUCGGAAUCACUGGGCGUAAAGAGCGUGUAGGCGGCGAGGUAAGUCGGAUGUGAAAGCCCCGGGCUCAACUCGGGAAUUGCAUCCGAAACUUCCUCGCUAGAGUCCCGGAGAGGAAGGCAGAAUUCCCAAUGUAGGGGUGGAAUCCGUAGAUAUUGGGAGGAAUACCGGUGGCGAAGGCGGCCUUCUGGACGGUGACUGACCCUGAGACGCGAAAGCGUGGGGAGCAAACAGG